This 292-nucleotide ribosomal RNA is filed under the name uncultured bacterium. Its description in RNAcentral is "partial 16S ribosomal RNA". It matches the Rfam family "Bacterial small subunit ribosomal RNA", at positions 505 to 796 of the family's 1533-position model. The record is from RNAcentral.
GUGUCAGCCGCCGCGGUAAGACGAACCGUGCGAACGUUGUUCGGAAUCACUGGGCUUAAAGGGCGCGUAGGCGGGUUCCCAAGUUCGGGGUGAAAUCUUCCGGCUUAACCGGAAAAUAGCCCUGGAUACUGGGAGUCUCGAGGGGGGUAGGGGCAGCUGGAACUUCCGGUGGAGCGGUGAAAUGCGUUGAUAUCGGAAGGAACGCCGGUGGCGAAAGCGAGCUGCUGGACCUCUACUGACGCUGAGGCGCGAAAGCCAGGGGAGCAAACGGGAUUAGAUACCCCAGUAGUCC